This 386-nucleotide unclassified non-coding RNA is filed under the name Hevea brasiliensis (rubber tree). Lineage: Eukaryota; Viridiplantae; Streptophyta; Magnoliopsida; Malpighiales; Euphorbiaceae. The record is from RNAcentral.
GUUAAACUAUUGUUCAAAAGUUAAAAAAGUCUUUAAAUUCUUUUUUGGUCUUAAGAAGCCUUUCAACUAUUUAAAAUGACAUACUUAACUCCAAAGUUAACAACGCACGCCGUCCAAUGGAAUUAGGGAUUGCACCAAAAAUGCACAGUCAAAUACUAGCACUUCAUGGUUCAUUGCAUACCAGGUUGGAAUAAAGCCUUCUCUAAACCAUUCAAGCACCCAACUGGUUAAUAUCUGACUCAAUGCCAGGCCGGCUAAGUGGGAAAAUCAAAGUUCAAAUAUCUCUCUCCAUUAUUGUCAAGGUAUUGGAUCAUCAUCCCAAGAGAAGGAAGUGGACUGUUGUGGUAGAAAGUUGGAACGUAUAGUUAGUAGUCAACUUGUCUUUU